CUUGGUCAUUUAGAGGAAGUAAAAGUCGUAACUAAGGUUUCCGUAGGUGAACUCUGCGGAAGGAUCAUUACCGAGUGAGGGCCCUCUGGGUCUCAAUCUCCUCACCCGUGUUUAUUUUACCUUGUUGCUUCGGCGGGCCCGCCUUAACUGGCCGCCGGGGGGCUUACGCCCCCGGGCCCGCGCCCGCCGAAGACACCCUCGAACUCUGUCUGAAGAUUGUAGUCUGAGUGAAAAUAUAAAUUAUUUAAAACUUUCAACAACGGAUCUCUUGGUUCCGGCAUCGAUGAAGAACGCAGCGAAAUGCGAUACGUAAUGUGAAUUGCAAAUUCAGUGAAUCAUCGAGUCUUUGAACGCACAUUGCGCCCCCUGGUAUUCCGGGGGGCAUGCCUGUCCGAGCGUCAUUUCUGCCCUCAAGCACGGCUUGUGUGUUGGGCCCCGUCCUCCGAUCCCGGGGGACGGGCCCGAAAGGCAGCGGCGGCACCGCGUCCGGUCCUCGAGCGUAUGGGGCUUUGUCACCCGCUCUGUAGGCCCGGCCGGCGCUUGCCGAUCAACCCAAAUUUUUAUCCAGGUUGACCUCGGAUCAGGUAGGGAUACCCGCUGAACUUAAGCAUAUCAAUAAGCGGAGGA
Molecule: ribosomal RNA, 627 nt
Filed under: Penicillium sp. BF6
Lineage: Eukaryota; Fungi; Ascomycota; Eurotiomycetes; Eurotiales; Aspergillaceae
Description: eukaryotic LSU rRNA
Rfam family: 5.8S ribosomal RNA (bases 249-401)
Source: RNAcentral